Molecule: ribosomal RNA, 253 nt
Filed under: uncultured bacterium
Lineage: Bacteria
Description: partial 16S ribosomal RNA
Rfam family: Bacterial small subunit ribosomal RNA
Source: RNAcentral
UACGUAGGGUGCGAGCGUUGUCCGGAAUUAUUGGGCGUAAAGCGCUCGUAGGCGGUCUGUCACGUCGGCUGUGAAAGCCCGAGGCUCAACCUCGGGCCGGCAGUCGAUACGGGCAAACUAGAGUACUGCAGGGGAGACUGGAAUUCCUGGUGUAGCGGUGAAAUGCGCAGAUAUCAGGAGGAACACCGGUGGCGAAGGCGGGUCGCUGGGCAGUAACUGACGCUGAGGAGCGAAAGCGUGGGGAGCGAACAGG